Molecule: ribosomal RNA, 545 nt
Filed under: Mantella viridis
Lineage: Eukaryota; Metazoa; Chordata; Amphibia; Anura; Mantellidae
Description: partial 16S ribosomal RNA
Source: RNAcentral
AUCUUUCCAUUAAUGCUCUUGUGUAAGGUUAACGUUUUGAUUUGUAGAGUUUUCUUGGUAUGUUACUAAAGGGGGCUCAAUUUCGUUAAUUGCCAUUGGUUUGUCUAAUAUGGCUUAAGUUUACAUUUUGGAGAAAAAUUAUUUCUUGUUACUAGUUCUAGCAUUAUAUUUUUCAUAUUUUUAUGAAAUUACUCAAUAUUGGAGAAGGGUUUUAAAUGGUAUGGGGGAUUAGGAAAAGAAAAUGUUAAGCUUUAACGCUUUUAUGAAGGAUGGCUGCUUUUAGGCCCACUAGUCAUUUCAUUUUUUGAUAUAUUACCCUGUGGUGUAGGUUGUAUCCUGUUUCAAAUAAGCUGUGCCUUAUUUGAAUAGCUCUUAAAUUUAGUGGCGGUUUAGAGAAACUAGGAAAAACUUAAGGUUGAACUAAAAUUCUUUUCUUGAGUAACCAGCUAUUUCUGGGUGCGGUAGGUUUAUCACCUCUACUUGGAAAUCUUCCCACUCUAUUGCAACAGAGACGGGUUGGCUCUUACAGCUGUUUCGAAGUAGCU